This 77-nucleotide transfer RNA is filed under the name Desulfovibrio sp. RNAcentral describes it as "tRNA-Arg(cct)". It matches the Rfam family "tRNA". From Rfam's summary of the family: Transfer RNA (tRNA) molecules are approximately 80 nucleotides in length. Their secondary structure includes four short double-helical elements and three loops (D, anti-codon, and T loops). Further hydrogen bonds mediate the characteristic L-shaped molecular structure. tRNAs have two regions of fundamental functional importance: the anti-codon, which is responsible for specific mRNA codon recognition, and the 3' end, to which the tRNAs corresponding amino acid is attached (by aminoacyl-tRNA synthetases). tRNAs cope with the degeneracy of the genetic code in two manners: having more than one tRNA (with a specific anti-codon) for a particular amino acid; and 'wobble' base-pairing, i.e. permitting non-standard base-pairing at the 3rd anti-codon position. The record is from RNAcentral. RNAcentral also lists the same sequence under 7 other names. Lineage: Bacteria; Pseudomonadati; Thermodesulfobacteriota; Desulfovibrionia; Desulfovibrionales; Desulfovibrionaceae.
GCGCUCGUAGCUCAGUUGGAUAGAGCGAUAGCCUCCUAAGCUGUAGGCCGCAGGUUCGAUUCCUGCCGGGCGCACCA